AUAGAGACUCAGAGCUGCAUAUCAAUAAGCGGAGGAAAAGAAACUAACAAGGAUUCCCUUAGUAACGGCGAGUGAAGCGGGAAGAGCUCAAAUUUGAAAUCUUCAAGGUUCUACCUUGACGAAAUUGUAGUUUAUAGAAGUGUUUUCUGUUAGUAGAGUGGCAAAAGUUCUUUGGAAUAGGACAUCAUAGAGGGUGAGAAUCCCGUAUUUGGUCAUUCUUUCUAGCUUUGUGAUACACUUUCAACGAGUCGGAUUGUUUGGGAAUGCAGUCCAAAAUGGGUGGUAAAUUUCAUCUAAAGCUAAAUAUUGGCGAGAGACCGAUAGCGAACAAGUACCGUGAGGGAAAGAUGAAAAGAACUUUGAAAAGAGAGUUAAACAGUACGUGAAAUUGUCAAAAGGGAAGCGUUUGACACCAGUGUUGUUUUUCCGAAAAUCAAUUACGAAUGUUUUGUUUUUAAGAAGUUAUGACUUCAUCGGCUUGCUUCUUUCUUUACGAAACUUUCUUAAUGCACUUUUCGGUUAACAAGUCAACAUCAAUUUCUUUUGUUGUAAAAGGGUACGAGGAAGGUGGCUUUCUUUUCGGAGAAAGUGUUUAUAGCCUUGUACCUCUGCAAUCGGAGAGAUUGAGGUCUGCAGCGUAGAUCCUUCGGGGUUAGAUACAUUUGUGCUAAGUUAUAGCUUUUCAUAGACAACUUGUUGACUAUGUUAAGUCUUGUAGCUUACUCGCUUAUGCUAUUAUUACCUACGCUUAGGAUGUUGAUAUGCAUGACUGAUAU
This 776-nucleotide ribosomal RNA is filed under the name uncultured Neocallimastigales. Its description in RNAcentral is "partial large subunit ribosomal RNA". It matches the Rfam family "Eukaryotic large subunit ribosomal RNA", at positions 23 to 640 of the family's 3401-position model. The record is from RNAcentral. Lineage: Eukaryota; Fungi; Neocallimastigomycota; Neocallimastigomycetes; Neocallimastigales.